This 71-nucleotide transfer RNA is filed under the name Ictidomys tridecemlineatus (thirteen-lined ground squirrel). RNAcentral describes it as "Spermophilus tridecemlineatus (thirteen-lined ground squirrel) tRNA". It matches the Rfam family "tRNA". Rfam says of the family: Transfer RNA (tRNA) molecules are approximately 80 nucleotides in length. The record is from Rfam by way of RNAcentral. Lineage: Eukaryota; Metazoa; Chordata; Mammalia; Rodentia; Sciuridae.
GUAGUUGUAGCUCAGUGGUAGAGCACUUGCCUAGCAAGUGUGAAGAACUGGGUUUGAUUCUCAGCACCACA